This 225-nucleotide long non-coding RNA is filed under the name Sorghum bicolor (sorghum). RNAcentral's name for it is "long non-coding RNA (SBIC_LNC000611)". Lineage: Eukaryota; Viridiplantae; Streptophyta; Magnoliopsida; Poales; Poaceae. The record is from RNAcentral.
UUGUACUGUGAUGCUGUCUAAAUAUUUAUUGUGAUCCAAAUAUGUACUGUUAUAAUGUAUAAAUUGUCAAUUUAUUUGUUUACUAUUACUCAAAAUACAAAAAAACAAACCAAACUUUGCGAAAAAAUUUUGAUGCUAGGGGCAUUAUGGUCUUUUACCCUCCACUUAACACCGUUAAGUGCUGAAAACGGACGGAAGGGCAUAGAAGGAAUGAAAGUUCGGCCA